This 497-nucleotide ribosomal RNA is filed under the name uncultured bacterium. Its description in RNAcentral is "partial 16S ribosomal RNA". It matches the Rfam family "Bacterial small subunit ribosomal RNA", at positions 28 to 507 of the family's 1533-position model. The record is from RNAcentral.
GAUGAACGCUGGCGGCGUGCCUAAUACAUGCAAGUCGAGCGAACAGACGAGGAGCUUGCUCCUCUGACGUUAGCGGCGGACGGGUGAGUAACACGUGGAUAACCUACCUAUAAGACUGGGAUAACUUCGGGAAACCGGAGCUAAUACCGGAUAAUAUAUUGAACCGCAUGGUUCAAUAGUGAAAGACGGUUUUGCUGUCACUUAUAGAUGGAUCCGCGCCGCAUUAGCUAGUUGGUAAGGUAACGGCUUACCAAGGCAACGAUGCGUAGCCGACCUGAGCGGGUGAUCGGCCACACUGGAACUGAGACACGGUCCAGACUCCUACGGGAGGCAGCAGUAGGGAAUCUUGCGCAAUGGGCGAAAGCUUGACGGAGCAACGCCGCGUGAGUGAUGAAGGUCUUCGGAUCGUAAAACUCUGUUAUUAGGGAAGAACAAAUGUGUAAGUAACUAUGCACGUCUUGACGGUACCUAAUCAGAAAGCCACGGCUAACUACGUG